Molecule: ribosomal RNA, 253 nt
Filed under: uncultured bacterium
Lineage: Bacteria
Description: partial 16S ribosomal RNA
Rfam family: Bacterial small subunit ribosomal RNA
Source: RNAcentral
UACGUAGGUGGCAAGCGUUGUCCGGAUUUACUGGGCGUAAAGGGCGCGUAGGCGGCUUCAUACGUCAGGAGUGAAAUCCCCAGGCUCAACCUGGGAACUGCAUCCGAUACUGGAUGGCUUGAAUUCGGGAGAGGGAUGCAGAAUUCCAGGUGUAGCGGUGAAAUGCGUAGAUAUCUGGAGGAAUACCGGUGGCGAAGGCGGCAUCCUGGGCCGACAUUGACGCUGAGGAGCGAAAGCCAGGGGAGCGAACGGG